RNAcentral lists this ribosomal RNA (253 nucleotides) under uncultured bacterium. Its description in RNAcentral is "partial 16S ribosomal RNA". It matches the Rfam family "Bacterial small subunit ribosomal RNA", at positions 524 to 776 of the family's 1533-position model. The record is from RNAcentral.
UACGGAGGGUGCGAGCGUUGUCCGGAAUUAUUGGGCGUAAAGAGCUUGUAGGCGGUUUGUCGCGUCUGCUGUGAAAAUCCGGGGCUCAACCCCGGACUUGCAGUGGGUACGGGCGGACUAGAGUGUGGUAGGGGAGACUGGAAUUCCUGGUGUAGCGGUGGAAUGCGCAGAUAUCAGGAGGAACACCGAUGGCGAAGGCAGGUCUCUGGGCCACUACUGACGCUGAGAAGCGAAAGCAUGGGGAGCGAACAGG